GUCAGCUCGUGUCGAGGGAUGUUGGGUUAAGUCCCGCAAAGAGGGCCACCCUUGUCCUCAGUUGCCCGCAACUUACGGUGGGCACUCCAGGGAGACUGCCGGUGACAAACCGGAGGAAGGUGGGGACGACGUCAAGUCAUCAUGGCCCUUACGGCCAGGGCUACACACCUGCUACAAUGGGGCAUACAAAGUGCUGCCAAGGCGUGAACAGGAGCUAAUCCCAAAAAAUGCGUCGUAGUCCGGAUUGGAGUCUGCAACUCGACUCCAGAAGUCGGAAUCGCUGUAUUCGA
Molecule: ribosomal RNA, 290 nt
Filed under: uncultured Spongiobacter sp.
Lineage: Bacteria; Pseudomonadati; Pseudomonadota; Gammaproteobacteria
Description: partial 16S ribosomal RNA
Rfam family: Bacterial small subunit ribosomal RNA
Source: RNAcentral